CCUUGGUGUUAUGGCUCAGUGGCAGAGCGCUUGCCUAGCAUGUAGAGGCCCUGGGUUCCAGCCCCAGGACUAAGAA
RNAcentral lists this transfer RNA (76 nucleotides) under Marmota monax (woodchuck). Its description in RNAcentral is "tRNA.Ala". The record is from RNAcentral. Lineage: Eukaryota; Metazoa; Chordata; Mammalia; Rodentia; Sciuridae.